RNAcentral lists this ribosomal RNA (207 nucleotides) under uncultured bacterium. RNAcentral's name for it is "partial 16S ribosomal RNA". It matches the Rfam family "Bacterial small subunit ribosomal RNA", at positions 568 to 774 of the family's 1533-position model. The record is from RNAcentral.
UGUGUAGGUGGCGCCGUAAGUGGGGUGUGAAAUUUCGGAGCUUAACUCCGAAACUGCAUUCCAUACUGCGGUGCUUGAGGACUGGAGAGGAGACUGGAAUUUACGGUGUAGCAGUGAAAUGCGUAGAUAUCGUAAGGAAGACCAGUGGCGAAGGCGGGUCUCUGGACAGUUCCUGACACUGAGACACGAAGGCCAGGGAGGCAAACG